CACUCCCUUUAAAGAGCACGCGGAGUGUGUGUGCGGCUCUUGGGGGCUUUUCUCCCUCCUUGGGGAAAAGCCCCCAAGAGCCACACACACGCUGCACGUGGCUCUUUAAAGGGAGC
Molecule: non-coding RNA, 116 nt
Organism: Podarcis lilfordi (Lilford's wall lizard)
Lineage: Eukaryota; Metazoa; Chordata; Lepidosauria; Squamata; Lacertidae
Source: the annotation of a GenBank genome assembly